Drosophila melanogaster (fruit fly) is the source of this 492-nucleotide non-coding RNA. NCBI's taxonomy places the organism in Eukaryota, Metazoa, Arthropoda, Insecta, Diptera, Drosophilidae. The record is from Ensembl.
GAAAUUUCAUUUCAAAUGAUUUACUGUAACGAUCAACAAACGCAGGAAUUGCCCCAGACAGACGAGUCAACCCCCGAGGGCGGCGCUUAAAGGGGUGCGAAAGUUUAGCGAGCGUAUCGCAGUCAAUAUAUCCAGAAUAUAUCCAACAGCGAUAAGUUCGGGGUGAGUGGAGAAUGGGAGCCCAGGAUGCCCCAGCAAGCGGACAUCUCUCCAAGGUUAACUUUAAGCUCAUCUCUACUGGAGGACUCUUUAAGAGUGCGAAAAGUUGUCCCUAGCCGGGAUGCUCAACAGGAUGCUUGACACCGAAACGAAACCUGGGUGGCGAACUGCACCCUCGUCGUUGGGCAAAAACAAAGAAACCGAAACUGUUGGUUUAGUUACCAUGGGUGCGAAGGGGAGAUUUUGCGGCUAGAUUUGAUAAACAAUUUGGGUAUUUAAAUGAGGAGGGGCUUACCCAUUACAAGUUUAACAAUAAUAUUAAAGUGUGAAGAC